This 468-nucleotide ribosomal RNA is filed under the name uncultured fungus. RNAcentral describes it as "eukaryotic LSU rRNA". The stretch from base 114 to 267 matches the Rfam family "5.8S ribosomal RNA". The record is from RNAcentral. Lineage: Eukaryota; Fungi.
CAUUAGUGAACGACCUCACGGGCUUAUGACUAUUCCAAACCUCUGUGAACAGUGCGCUUCGGGGCUAUUAUACAACCCUGGCGUAAUGAACGUCAUAUAUCAUAACAAAACAAAACUUUCAACAACGGAUCUCUUGGCUCUCGCAUCGAUGAAGAACGCACCGAAAUGCCAUAAGUAAUGUGAAUUGCAGAAUUCAGUGAAUCAUCGAAUCUUUGAACGCACCUUGCGCCCUCUGGUAUUCCGGAGGGCAUGCCUGUUUGAGUGUCAUGUAGACUCAAUCCCUCGGGUUUCCGAGGAGAUUGGACUUGGGUGUUGCCGCUCUGCCGGCUCGCCUUAAAAGACUUAGCGGGAUAGCACCGUAGUCGGCGUACUAAGUUUCGUCCGUGAAGGUUGUGAUGACUGCUUACAAUCGCCCUNGGGCAAUUUUUGACUCUGACCUCAAAUCAGGUAGGACUACCCGCUGAACUU